UUUUCUCAACAUAUCCUCCAACAGCGUGUGGAGGAAAUUCUUCUCCCUCACCUCUAUCCAAAACCAGAAAGUUUUUAAGGGGUAACACAAAAGGUAUAAAUAAGUCCCUCUGGAAAUUUGGAAGCUUCACUUUCUGUUGUAACCCAUACCUAGAACAUUUUAAAAGACAGUGGCUGUUUUUGCCUAUUUGGAGGAACACAGGGAUGGAAACUGUAAGCAGAACAUUAUUACAAUGGAAAUGAACUACCAGGAUUUUAAACUAGAUCACAUGUGAGCAUACAUAUUAUAACCAAGUACAUGUUCUCGCCUAACAAUUACAGGAUACAAUUAAGCUUAUUCCUAUUUUUUUUUAGGCCACCAUCGUCCUAAAACCUAACUCCAAAGAAAGGAUACUUGCUGGGCAAAAGUUACUAGAGAGGAUGUCAGGAAUAUAUACAUAAAGUGAAAUGGUCGAUUUUCUUUAGACCAGUGUCAGCUUACAGGGCAAAAAUCUCAGGAACCAGUAAAUGAAGAUAAUUAUCCAAUGAGAAUCUUCUCUUCAGUAAAGGAUCCCUUUGGCUUACACUGUGCUACUUGAUAACAACUGAGGAAUGCUUUUGAUUCAAUGGGAGAGAUAUUCUGAUAAUGAAACUUUGCUGCUCCAAAUUUGCAGGAUUUAUUUUUCCUUAAUAUUGAGCAAACUGAAAAAAGUUUUGAUUGAUAGUCCAUACCUGGAAAAGACUAUACUUGAACUCACUGCCAGCCAAAGCUAUCAUAUCCUGUGAUUUGACCACCAUCCAAUUAUCAACACAGACAAAAAGAAACUGACAAAAUGGUGUCUUAAUAAACCAAUACAUCACUGUCA
This 844-nucleotide long non-coding RNA is filed under the name Felis catus (domestic cat). Its description in RNAcentral is "lncRNA (ENSFCAG00000042369.2)". Lineage: Eukaryota; Metazoa; Chordata; Mammalia; Carnivora; Felidae. The record is from RNAcentral.